Long non-coding RNA from Ananas comosus (pineapple), 1587 nucleotides. RefSeq lists it as uncharacterized. The record is from RefSeq and is a predicted model, not a curated record. The transcript has 7 exons. NCBI's taxonomy places the organism in Eukaryota, Viridiplantae, Streptophyta, Magnoliopsida, Poales, Bromeliaceae.
UCACAGGCAGGUCACGAUGCCAUUUGGGUAAUUGUAGACAGAUUGACCAAAUCUGCCCACUUUAUUCCAAUCCAUACAGUUUGGUCGGGGGAGAGACUUGCACAAGUGUACCUUGAUGAAAUUGUGCGAUUACACAGAGUACCAGCUUCUAUUGUUUUAGAUCGAGACAUCCGCUUCGUUUCACAUUUUUGGAGAAGUUUACAAGAGGCCAUGGGUACCCGAUUGGAUUUCAGUACUGCUUUCUACCCCCAAAGUGAUGGGCAGUCCGAGCGUACCAUCCAUACCAUUGAGGAUAUGUUGCGGGCCUGCGUGAUUGAUUUUCAGGGCAGUUGGCCACAGUUCUUGCCUAUGGCAGAAUUUGCUUAUAACAAUAGUUAUCAAGCAAGUAUUCAAAUGGCACCGUUUGAAGCUCUUUAUGGGUAGGAAGUGCAGAUCACCACUUCAUUGGAGUGAAGUGGGGGAAAGAUUAGUUUUGGGUCCAGAUAUGUUGCAAGAAGCUGAAGCUAAAGUUCGACUUGCACGAGAACGUUUGUUGACCGCUCAAAGCCGACAAAGGAGCUAUGCGGAUAAACGUCGGCGAGAACUGAAAUUUCACGUUGGCGAUCAUGUAUUCCUAAAAGUUUCACCGACAAAAGGAGUUAAGAGAUUUGGAAUUCGUGGAAAGCUGAGUCCUCGGUUUAUUGGACCCUACGAAGUGUUGGAGCGGAUAGGCCCCGUAGCGUAUUGGCUUGCUUUGCCGCCGAACCUAUCGGAAGUGCAUAAUGUGUUUCAUGUAUCUACACUGCGGAGUUUGUUUUUGAUCCGACCCACAUAUUGGAAAGUACUCCAGUGGAAUUACGAGAAGAUUUGAGCUUUGAGUAGCAUCCAGUAAGAAUACUAGCUCGAGAGGUGAAACGGCUUCGAAACCGUGAGAUACCCUACGUAAAGAUCCGUUGGAGCAAUCAUGAUGAACGGAAAGCUACUUGGGAACUGGAAAGUGCAAUGCAAGAGCACUAUCCCUAUCUUUUCUCGACAAAAUUUUGAGCACGACUCCUGGACCCUUGUAGAUGCUGUUAGAGCUCAGAGAAGGGCUUCUUCACCUCCUCCACUUUCUCUCUCUAGGGUUUCUCUCUCUUCGAUUGGAGAUCGCCGAAUCGAGCUUAUUUCGUGUCGCGUUCGUUGCUCGCUGGUUUGGAAACGCAAGGGAGGUCUUUGGGUUGUGGGGAGAAGUAUUUUUACUGAGUUUCUGUGAGGUUCUCACCAGGGAAAGCUGAUUCUCAGCUUUGGAGAGAGGCUGUUUUCAGCAGUAAAAAAAGAGUUAUUUUGGCUAUGAAUUAUCAGUGAAAAGUUGCUUUAAGGCUGGACUAAGCAGAUUCUUGACCCACUUUGAGCUGAACCUGGGCUCUUAGAAGUUGGUUUGGAGGAUAUUUUAACCAAGGCGAGAGUGCUACCGACCUUGGGAUGACCUUCAGUUGGCAUUGGAGAGCAAUUAGAGGCUUAACUUGAGGCUGAGGCUUGAUUGAGCUGAAUUUCGGGACUCUUGUGGACUGAUUUGAGCCUAGUAAUAGAGCCAUUUACCGGAGAGGCUAGGGAUCGUGGCAAGGAAGU